This 777-nucleotide ribosomal RNA is filed under the name uncultured Neocallimastigales. Its description in RNAcentral is "partial large subunit ribosomal RNA". It matches the Rfam family "Eukaryotic large subunit ribosomal RNA", at positions 23 to 645 of the family's 3401-position model. The record is from RNAcentral. Lineage: Eukaryota; Fungi; Neocallimastigomycota; Neocallimastigomycetes; Neocallimastigales.
GAGACUCUGUGCGCGUGCAUAUCAAUAAGCGGAGGAAAAGAAACUAACAAGGAUUCCCUUAGUAACGGCGAGUGAAGCGGGAAGAGCUCAAAUUUGAAAUCUUCAAGGUUUUACCUUGACGAAUUGUAGUUUAAAGAAGUGUUUUCUGUUGGAGUUUUGGUAAAAGUUCUUUGGAAUAGGACAUCAUAGAGGGUGAGAAUCCCGUAUUUGACCAUUAUUUCCAGCUGUGUGAUACACUUUCAAAGAGUCGGAUUGUUUGGGAAUGCAGUCCAAAAUGGGUGGUAAAUUUCAUCUAAAGCUAAAUAUUGGCGAGAGACCGAUAGCGAACAAGUACCGUGAGGGAAAGAUGAAAAGAACUUUGAAAAGAGAGUUAAACAGUACGUGAAAUUGUCAAAAGGGAAGCGUUUGACACCAGUGUUGUUUAGUUGAAAAUCAAUUUAAUAAUGGUUUGAUUCUAGUAGUAUUGACUUUAUCAGCUUUCUGCACUUUCUUCUCGAUAUUAUUUAAUGCACUUUUCAGUUAACAAGUCAACAUCAAUUUCUUUUGUUGUAAAAGAGGUAAUAGGAAGGUGGCUUUCUCUUCGGCGCAAGUGUCUAUAGCCUUUGACCUCUGCAAUCGGAGAGAUUGAGGUCUGCAGCGUAGACUCUUCGGGGUUAGAUACAUUUGUGCUAAGCUAUAGCCUUGUAUAGACAACUUGUUGACUAUGCUCAGUCAUGUAGCUUACUCGCAUGAUGCUAUUUUACCUACGCUUAGGAUGUUGAAGUCAUCGUAUCGCGC